RNAcentral lists this ribosomal RNA (479 nucleotides) under Tychonema bourrellyi. RNAcentral describes it as "bacterial SSU rRNA". It matches the Rfam family "Bacterial small subunit ribosomal RNA", at positions 344 to 837 of the family's 1533-position model. RNAcentral also lists the same sequence under 1 other name. Lineage: Bacteria; Bacillati; Cyanobacteriota; Cyanophyceae; Oscillatoriales; Microcoleaceae. The record is from RNAcentral.
GGAGGCAGCAGUGGGGAAUUUUCCGCAAUGGGCGAAAGCCUGACGGAGCAAGACCGCGUGGGGGAAGAAGGCUCUUGGGUUGUAAACUCCUUUUCUCUGGGAAGAACAAAAUGACGGUACCAGAGGAAUCAGCAUCGGCUAACUCCGUGCCAGCAGCCGCGGUAAGACGGAGGAUGCAAGCGUUAUCCGGAAUGAUUGGGCGUAAAGCGUCCGCAGGUGGCAGUUCAAGUCUGCUGUCAAAGACCGGGGCUCAACCUCGGAAAGGCAGUGGAAACUGAACAGCUAGAGUAUGGUAGGGGCAAAGGGAAUUCCUGGUGUAGCGGUGAAAUGCGUAGAGAUCAGGAAGAACAUCGGUGGCGAAGGCGCUUUGCUGGACCAUAACUGACACUCAGGGACGAAAGCUAGGGGAGCGAAUGGGAUUAGAUACCCCAGUAGUCCUAGCCGUAAACGAUGGAUACUAGGUGUUGUCUGUAUCGACC